GAUGAAUAACGUAGCGAAAUGCGAUAAGUAAUGUGAAUUGCAGAAUUCAGUGAAUCAUCGAAUCUUUGAACGCACAUUGCGCCCGCCAGUAUUCUGGCGGGCAUGCCUGUUCGAGCGUCAUUUCAACCCUCAAGCCCAGCUUGGUGUUGGGGAUCGGCACAGGCGCCCUCGGGCGCCCGCCGUCCCCUAAAUCUAGUGGCGGUCCCGCUGCAGCCUCCUCUGCGUAGUAGUUUUCUCCUCGCAAGGGCAGCUCGGUGGCGACCUCGCCGUAAAACCCCCAACUUCUGAAAGGUUGACCUCGAAUCAGGUAGGAAUACCCGCUGAACUUAAGCAUAUCAAUAAGCGGAGGA
This 350-nucleotide unclassified non-coding RNA is filed under the name soil metagenome. RNAcentral describes it as "partial contains 5.8S ribosomal RNA, internal transcribed spacer 2, and large subunit ribosomal RNA". The stretch from base 1 to 120 matches the Rfam family "5.8S ribosomal RNA", at positions 35 to 154 of the family's 154-position model. The record is from RNAcentral.